CUUAUCUACACACGUGUUUUUGUUUUAUUCUUAAAACUUGCUUUGGCAGUGGCUGCUUAAUUGCUCUGCUGCCAGAGGAUAAACUCAACCUAAAUUUUUUAUUUUAAACUAGUCAACUGAUUAUAUUUAUUAAUAGUCAAAACUUUCAACAACGGAUCUCUUGGUUCUCGCAUCGAUGAAGAACGCAGCGAAAUGCGAUAAGUAAUAUGAAUUGCAGAUAUUCGUGAAUCAUCGAAUCUUUGAACGCACAUUGCGCCCUCUGGUAUUCCGGAGGGCAUGCCUGUUUGAGCGUCAUUUCUCCCUCAAACCCCCGGGUUUGGUGAUGAGCAAUACGCCAGGUUUGCUUGAAAGUUAGGAGGAGUAUUUAUAACAAUGUAUUAGGUCUAACCACUCCAUUGUGCUUAAUAAAAAGCUCCAAUCUAUAUUUCAAACUUCGACCUCAAAUCAGGUAGGAUUACCCGCUGAACUUAAGCAUAUCAAG
This 481-nucleotide ribosomal RNA is filed under the name Lodderomyces sp. W8Y16. Its description in RNAcentral is "eukaryotic LSU rRNA". The stretch from base 141 to 294 matches the Rfam family "5.8S ribosomal RNA". Lineage: Eukaryota; Fungi; Ascomycota; Pichiomycetes; Serinales; Debaryomycetaceae. The record is from RNAcentral.